This 351-nucleotide long non-coding RNA is filed under the name Bos taurus (domestic cattle). RNAcentral describes it as "long non-coding RNA NONBTAT002830". The record is from RNAcentral. Lineage: Eukaryota; Metazoa; Chordata; Mammalia; Artiodactyla; Bovidae.
AAAAACGUUAGAUUAGUAACCAAAGUAGACUAGUUUUAUGGUUUACUUUAUUGAAAGCCUAAGAACAUUUUGGCUUUUAAACAGUUGUUUCAUGAGGAAUAGAUAUUAUUCACUCUUGGGAUCCAGCCUACAUAACUCAAAGCCUCUAAGCCUCAUUCAUCCCAAUGUCUGUGCUGGAAAUGCCUUCCCCACUUUCUCUGUUCACCUAAUCCCACUCUCUAUAGUCCAGCUCAUCUCACCACCUCCCUGGAGCCUUCCCCAGCUCCUGCAGCCCACAGAGUUGUAUUUCUCUGAACUGUAGCACUCGUUGUAUAAUCAUUUGUUGAUGAUCUUUUUAAUGGAUAUAAAUCC